GCGGUCGAGAGCGGGCUGAAGAACUUUUUGGGUGGUGAAGAGCAGAAAGACGAUGGAGGCAAAGAAGACAAAGAGGGAUUCAGUUUCGGAAAGUUCCUCUCAUCCGGUGAUGAUGGACAGAAAGAUGUAAAUGAAGGAUCACCCAGUUGUGGACAGACAGAUGACGACAACAGUGGAUUUGGUUUAGCAAGCGCCCUCAACCCCGGCGGUGGUGGACAAAACGAUCCUGACAACGGAGGACUUGGUUCAGGAGAUGCCAAAGGUGGUGGACAGAAAAAUGAUGACAACACGGGAGCUGGAGAACCAGGGAUAGAUGCUGCAGCCGCAGCUCUUGGAGAUCUCUUUGACCAGUAAUCCUGCAGACCACGUCCAACGAGGCUCUGCCUGCAGCGUCCUCAGAGAGAAGCAACUCCACCCAAACUGCUGGAACAUUGUUGCUUUCAAAUUAUUUGCUUUUGAGUUUUACACAGAAAACGUGACGCUACCAGAAACAUCCUCCAAACUUUUGAACAUCAGAUCAAUAGAAAGUGAUAUACCUGUAAGAAACAUGUACAUGUCUUAGUUAAAUGUUGAAUUAAAUGUUAGUGGCUGGCUCCUGCUGGGUGACAAAGAGUUUGACACGUUGGCAAUGUUUGUUUUCUCUAAAUGAAAAUUAAAUUUUAUUCUCUAUACUGACAAAUUCUGUGAACUUUGGUAGAGAAGAUAUGAACUAAAUGUUAAAACACCAGUGCAAUUUAUCUUCUGUAUUCUGCUGAAGGUUGCUAAUGCUAAUGCUAAUCAAAUGCUAAUUAAAUAGUAUCAGCAGCAGUUUGUCCUGAUUUUGUUGGUUUUGAUCUUCACUAAAUAUUCAGUACAAACUUCAGGCUCAGAUUUGAUCGGUGCUGGAAUGUACCUGAGUACAUUUACUCAAGUUCUGUAACUAAAAGUAAAGUACUUUAAAUCUGUACUUGAGUAUUUUCUUUUCAUGACACAUUAUACUUCUACUCGAUAGAAAGGUUUGUAAAAUCUUAUGUUUAGUUAAAAACAGUUUUUUAAAGUCCAGCUGAAGCCAUGAAUUCCUUAAUCAAUUAUUGGAUUGACAGAAUAUUAAUAUAAAACGAUGGUGUGUACAUGCAUAUGUGUGAGUGUGUGUUUGAUCUGAGGUUUAAUGGAAGCAAACAGACACACUAACUUGAAAUGCAUUGAAACCUAUUGAAACUAAUGGAGACCGGCUCCUCCAGUAAAUUUUCACCUGCUGUUUGACCAAUAGAAGUUCUGUAAAACUUUUGUUUGAAUAUAAAUAUAUAGAUAUGAGCCCCUCA
Non-coding RNA from Epinephelus lanceolatus (giant grouper), 1301 nucleotides. Lineage: Eukaryota; Metazoa; Chordata; Actinopteri; Perciformes; Serranidae. The record is from RefSeq and is a predicted model, not a curated record.